This is a long non-coding RNA of Manacus vitellinus (golden-collared manakin), 801 nucleotides long. RefSeq lists it as uncharacterized. The transcript is spliced from 3 exons. The record is from RefSeq and is a predicted model, not a curated record. Lineage: Eukaryota; Metazoa; Chordata; Aves; Passeriformes; Pipridae.
AACAGAAAGCAUACUUGAAAAAGAAAUUAAAUUACAAGAGCUUUCACUAUUCCCACUAUUGGACUGCUGCAUUUGCGACUCAUAAGGCAUGAUUCUGCUGUGCUGUUGUAAUAGACUCCAGGUCUUGGAUGGAUGCAUUUCGGAAAAGAUUAACCCUGUCUUUUGAUUUUGAUAAAAUCCUGGAUUUUUUUUUUUCUUUUUUCUGGCUUCUACCUGUCCUCAAAGGCAUAGAUUCAGGCAAAACUAUAUCCAAGAAAGAAAAACAUGGGAGAAAUGAAGAGGAGUGUCUGACUGAUUUGGCAAGAAGGCAUUUAGCUGGGACAUGUCCUUGCUGAGUUCAUCCAGAUGAGAACUGACAUGGAUCGGUACUAAACACUGAAAGGCUUCCCCAGUGUCACCUUUACAGACAGUGCAACUGGCCAUGAGAGCUCCACAUGAUGACUCUGAGGCUAGAAAGGACACUUCACUCUCAGCACAGCAAGCACCAUAUGGAUAUUUGCAAAGGGAUGAAAUGGAUGCUGUUGACUGGCCUCGCUUUUCACAUACCUUAAAUUGCUUGUCUCUGUUUGUGAUGGAUGUGGCAUCGCUUUCAUCUCCUGAUCACAGUGUUGCUUCACCUCUGAACCAGCAAUCUGGCCCUGGGACUCUCAACCAGGCUUCAUCUAGGCUGCCCCAAUCUGAUAAAUGCAGUGAUGGUGAUGCUGAGUGAUGCCAGUAUGAGACACAAGAGCAUUGCCCCUGCUCAGCCUCUCUACCAGCAGCAAAGUUUCUGGAAAACCUCGUGAAGCAAGCAAGGCAACU